RNAcentral lists this ribosomal RNA (239 nucleotides) under uncultured Bacillus sp. Its description in RNAcentral is "partial 16S ribosomal RNA". It matches the Rfam family "Bacterial small subunit ribosomal RNA", at positions 1147 to 1382 of the family's 1533-position model. Lineage: Bacteria; Bacillati; Bacillota; Bacilli; Caryophanales; Bacillaceae. The record is from RNAcentral.
AACUGCCGUUGACAAAACGGAGGAAGGUGGGAUGGACGUCAAAUCAUCAUGCCCCUUAUGUUCUGGGCGUACACACGUGCUACAAUGGCCGGUACAGACGGACGCAAAGCCGCGAGGUGGGAGCAAAUCCUAAAAAGCCGGUACUCAGUUCGGAUUGCAGGCUGCAAUUCGCCUGCAUGAAGUCGGAAUCGCUAGUAAUCGCAGGUCAGCAUACUGCGGUGAAUACGUUCCCGGGCCUU